GCGCCAGUAGCUCAGGGGAUAGAGCGACGGUCUCCGGAACCGUAGGUCGGAGGUUCGAUUCCUCUCUGGCGCGCCA
Molecule: transfer RNA, 76 nt
Filed under: Candidatus Coatesiibacteriota bacterium
Lineage: Bacteria; Candidatus Coatesiibacteriota
Description: tRNA-Arg
Rfam family: tRNA
About the family: Transfer RNA (tRNA) molecules are approximately 80 nucleotides in length.
Source: RNAcentral